This is a small nucleolar RNA of Ailuropoda melanoleuca (giant panda), 80 nucleotides long. Ensembl annotates it as small nucleolar RNA, C/D box 105B. Its record names the gene SNORD105B. NCBI's taxonomy places the organism in Eukaryota, Metazoa, Chordata, Mammalia, Carnivora, Ursidae. The record is from Ensembl.
UCCGGUGCGGCUGAUGACAGCACUCUGGCUGAGGCUCUGUGAUUAUUCAGUCUCAAAGUAAACGCUCUGACGCACUAUGC